UUAGCGGCGGACGGGUGAGUAACACGUGAGUAACCUGCCUUAGACAUUGGGAUAGCCUCGGGAAACCGGGAUUAAUACCAAAUAAAAUCAUAAUGACACAUGUCAUAACGAUCAAAACUCCGGUGGUCUAAGAUGGACUCGCGUCCCAUUAGCUAGUUGGUAGAGUAAAAGCCUACCAAGGCGACGAUGGGUAGCCGGCCUGAGAGGGUGAUCGGCCACACUGGAACUGAGACACGGUCCAG
Molecule: ribosomal RNA, 242 nt
Filed under: uncultured Eubacteriales bacterium
Lineage: Bacteria; Bacillati; Bacillota; Clostridia; Eubacteriales
Description: uncultured Clostridiales bacterium partial 16S ribosomal RNA
Rfam family: Bacterial small subunit ribosomal RNA
Source: RNAcentral